This 329-nucleotide unclassified non-coding RNA is filed under the name soil metagenome. RNAcentral describes it as "partial contains 5.8S ribosomal RNA, internal transcribed spacer 2, and large subunit ribosomal RNA". The stretch from base 1 to 120 matches the Rfam family "5.8S ribosomal RNA", at positions 35 to 154 of the family's 154-position model. The record is from RNAcentral.
GAUGAAGAACGUAGCGAAAUGCGAUAAGUAAUGUGAAUUGCAGAAUUCAGUGAAUCAUCGAAUCUUUGAACGCACAUUGCGCCCCCUGGUAUUCCGGGGGGCAUGCCUGUCCGAGCGUCAUUACAACCCUCAAGCUCAGCUUGGUGUUGGGCCCCGCCGCCCCGGCGGGCCCUAAAGUCAGUGGCGGUGCCGUCCGGCUCCGAGCGUAGUAAUUCUUCUCGCUCUGGAGUUCCGGUCGUGUGCUCGCCAGCAACCCCCAAUUUUUUUCAGGUUGACCUCGGAUCAGGUAGGGAUACCCGCUGAACUUAAGCAUAUCAAUAAGCGGAGGA